AGUUCAGAUUGCAGGCUGCAACUCGCCUGCAUGAAGUUGGAAUUGCUAGUAAUCGCGAAUCAGAAUGUCGCGGUGAAUACGUUCCCGGGCCUUGUACACACCGCCCGUCACACCAUGAGAGUCGAUAACACCCGAAGCCUGUGAGCUAAUCUUUUAGGAGGCAGCAGUCGAAGGUGGGGUUGAUGAUUGGGGUGAAGUCGUAACAAGGUAAC
Molecule: ribosomal RNA, 212 nt
Filed under: uncultured bacterium
Lineage: Bacteria
Description: partial 16S ribosomal RNA
Rfam family: Bacterial small subunit ribosomal RNA
Source: RNAcentral